UGGGGAAUAUUGGACAAUGGGCGCAAGCCUGAUCCAGCAACGCCGCGUGGAGGACGAAGGCCUUCGGGUCGUAAACUCCUGUCAGUAGGGACGAAAAAGUAGGGUCGAACAGGCCUUGCCAUUGACGGUACCUGCAGAGGAAGCCCCGGCUAACUCCGUGCCAGCAGCCGCGGUAAUACGGAGGGGGCAAGCGUUAUUCGGAAUUACUGGGCGUAAAGGGCGUGUAGGCGGCUUGAUAGGUCAAAAGGUGAAAAUCCCUCGGCUCAACCGAGGAACUGCCUUUGAAACCAUCUGGCUCGAGGCUGGGAGGGGGUAGCGGAAUUCCUGGGUGUAGCGGUGAAAUGCGUAGAUAUCAGGAGGAACACCAGUGGCGAAGGCGGCUACCUGGACCAGUUCUGACGCUGAGGCGCGAAAGCGUGGGG
RNAcentral lists this ribosomal RNA (422 nucleotides) under uncultured bacterium. RNAcentral describes it as "bacterial SSU rRNA". It matches the Rfam family "Bacterial small subunit ribosomal RNA", at positions 355 to 766 of the family's 1533-position model. The record is from RNAcentral.